Molecule: long non-coding RNA, 293 nt
Organism: Humulus lupulus (European hop)
Lineage: Eukaryota; Viridiplantae; Streptophyta; Magnoliopsida; Rosales; Cannabaceae
Exons: 3
Source: RefSeq, a predicted model, not a curated record
CGGAGUUAGUUCGAGCUAUUCGCUUGCAGAAGAUAGAAGAAUUGAGAAGCAAAGGGUUGGAACCGUAUGCAUAUAAGUGGGACAGGACUCACUCUGCUAAUCAGCUGCAAGAGACUUAUAAAAAUUUAGAAAAUGGCGAAGAAAUGAAUGGUGAGCAAGACAAUGUAUCAAUAGCCGGAAGAAUUGUGGCUCGUCGAGCAUUUGGAAAGCUUGCAUUUCUCACUCUAAGAGAUGAUUCUAGGACAAUUCAGCUUUAUUGUGAAAAGGCGAUAUUUUUAAGUGAUCAGUUUGAC